AGGCAUUUUAGUAAACAAUGUUUUCUCUAUCUUGUCACAUAUUAUGAUAUCAUUAUCGGAGGUGGAAAUAGUUACAUAAAAAUGUUUGUUCCUGAGUCAUCUGCUUCCCAGUUUCUCCAGAGAAGCAGAGAAGGGGAUCCCAGACUGCCCGUCAGCUCGUGGUUAAGUUCGUGCGCUCCGCUUCGGCAGCCCAGGGUUUGGCUGGUUCGGAUCCUGGGUGUGGACAUGGCACCACUCAUCAGGCCAUGCUGAGGUGGUGUCCCGCAUAGCACAACCAGAGGCACUCACAACUAGAAUAUACAACUAUGUACUGGGGGUUUUGGGGAGAAGAAGAAGAAAAAAAGAAGAUUGGCAACAGAUGUUAGCUUAGGUGCCAAUCUUUAAAAGAAAAAAAAAGAGAUCCAGAUAGGGGCCUAUGGCUUGGAGAGAGAAUUUCUAGCAUCUAACCAGGGCAACUCCCAUGGUCUCCAGGCCAGAGAAGGUGCCAGCACUGGGAGCAGGGCUGGGCCAUCAGGGCUUGGAAUCUGGGACCCCAGAAGCCAGGUCAGGGACCAGUCCACACACUGGCAGCUGUGUUCAGGUACCGCUGUUCUAAGGGCAUGUCAGAGAUGGCCAAGGGCACAGCUGGCCUAGCUGCCCCCGCUCCCCAAAGCCUUUGCUCUCUGCUGUGGGGGACCAGGCCAAGCCAGCACGUGCAAAUAUGAAGACGCUUCAGCCUCAAGGUGGGCACUGGUGGAGAAGCCACAAGUGGUGGAGAAGCCUCAGGGCACCCGGUUCUCGUCCCAGCCCCGGCGUUCGCUGGUGAGGCUUUCAUCUUGAGCACAUCACGUCACCUUCCUGGGUUCCGGUGUCCCCUUGGUAAAGUGAGGGACCUGCACCAGAUGAUGUCCCCUGCUCCAUAAGAAUCCAGCUGGGUGCUCGGGGCUGGCAUUUCACUCCUCUGUUAGAUUGUCUUCUUUUGGGGUGGGACAGAGGGCCAGCUCAGAUGGUGCGAGAGCACGGGCUGUUUAGGAUGCCUUGAUGCAUUUUGCAGCCUCCUCGGUUAUGAGGGUGGUCAGACUGUGAGAGAACCAACACCCUGUCUUGGUCCCUGGGUGUUCCUUUUACUCUGACAAGUGGUAGCCAGAUGUUGGGGAGCACAGGUAUGGAGGUGGGUGGCAUGCUGGAUGUUGGGAGUGCCCAGCACGGCUGGACCACAUUUGGCCCCAGCCGGCUGCGUGGCGGAUCUGAAGGCGCAGAGAGAGAAGCAUCGCUACCUCUCACUGGGGCCUCUCUGUGGACGGCAGCCUGACUGCUUGACAUGGAUGUGGACUGCAAAGGGAAGGGAGGCGCUUGACUGGGAGGGGACUGAGGACAAUGUGUAGGAAUGUGGCUCCUUACUGGAGCCCCCUAUGGGACUUAGCAUUGCCUACUGUGGUACUGGUGGGGAUCUGAGGGUCAUUGAGUUUCCCCGGAUUCCAUAGUCAGGCUGGUCCCAGGACAGAGAUGUCGUCUGCUCCUGGUGGCUGUGCCAGCCUCGGGCAGGGCCCCUUCUCUGGCCAGAGGCAGCUGCC
Equus caballus (horse) is the source of this 1553-nucleotide long non-coding RNA. The record is from Ensembl. NCBI's taxonomy places the organism in Eukaryota, Metazoa, Chordata, Mammalia, Perissodactyla, Equidae.